Molecule: long non-coding RNA, 1341 nt
Filed under: Anas platyrhynchos platyrhynchos (common mallard)
Lineage: Eukaryota; Metazoa; Chordata; Aves; Anseriformes; Anatidae
Description: lncRNA (ENSAPLG00000026496.1)
Source: RNAcentral
GAGUGAAAUGAAACUGUGGAUCUCAUGAUGGCCUGAUGUGGUUUUCCUCAGUACGAGGAGCAGGAAGGCAGGCAGUGUGACUCACGGAGCUCUGUGAUGUGCCUGUAGCCUGAGCACAAGCUCACUGCAAACAUCUGUCCCUGUGGACUCCCUGAUGUUCUGCGAUCUUCCCAUCAGGAGAACAAGCCGUGGAAAAGAUGAGGUCUUCAUCUUUGUGUAGGUGCAUGGAGGUGAUAAAUGAGUUUCACCUGGAGGAUGAACACAGCGCUGAAGCUGAACUCUUCAGUUUAAACAUCAGUUUAAACACCAACGUGGCCUUCAGCUGGCCAUUUCCCGCUGAGGAUGGCUUUACUCGGAGGCAUUUUGAUCAUUACUUGUCAGAUAAGACCUUGAGUGAACUACAAACUACAAUCACUGGCACUAGAAGACUUUGCAGCCAGUUUUGUCUUGACUCAAUCAUGUUAUCUUCAGUACUGAGUAGGUAUCUGACAAAUAAGUGAAAGCAAGAAAAAGAUCUUGUUCAUUUAGUAAAGACCUAUGUAAAUAAUACCAUACAUUAGUGUGGGGAAAAAUGCCUUUUUUCGCUCUGGAUUUACCAUAAUCUGGCAUAAAAAUAAUAUGCAAUAUAAAUGUGUUUAUACCUUAGAGUAUCUUGUUAAACCAUUUAAAGUUAACUAAUGUUUAGCUGUUCUGAAACUUUAAUUAGCAUUUAACAAGAAAGCAACAGUAUAGCCAAUUAGACAUCUAAGCAAUAACACACACAUACACUUCUAUUUUCUAGCAAUUAAUUGAUAACUAGUUUACCGUGGGCUAAUAAUUAAAUGAGAAAACAUUCUGAGCAAAUUGAAAGCACUGAUGCAAAUGAGUUCUGCAUUUAUUCUUUUCAAAUUCACUGACCACAUUAUCUAAUCUGUCGCGAACAGAGAAAUCCUGAAUUAUGCUAAAUAUAUACUCAAGCUGACUAACCAACCCUUAAAGCAACAUUUGUCACUUUUUGGAAGCUUUAAUUGCUCUGCUGAAGGAAAGUCCUAAUGCAGUGCCAAGGCUGGCAGGUUAAAUGUGGUGCCGACCACUGGUAUGAGGGCAGCUGAUGCUCUGUGCCCCGUGGAUCAGUUGCCUGGCUGGUGGAGCGACUCCUCUCUGCUGUUUUUGCUGGAGACAGCAACCCCAGGCACAAGCAGAGAAUUGUGUGUGUGUCCUUCCCAAGAAGAAAAAAAAUCUCAACCAAGUCUGAAGACAAAGGGGUCACCGUUUCAGCUACACGAGUGCUGGCAGCAGACAACUUCUGUGUUCUGCCAACUGAAAAAUAAAUGAAAUGUUUGACAAAGAAGAAUAUGAGUU